GGCGACGUAGCAUAGUUGUAAUGCGUUUCAUUUACGUUGAGGUAGAACUUUCGAAUAGGAGGCGUCGCUU
RNAcentral lists this transfer RNA (70 nucleotides) under Dendropoma psarocephalum. RNAcentral's name for it is "tRNA-Val". Lineage: Eukaryota; Metazoa; Mollusca; Gastropoda; Littorinimorpha; Vermetidae. The record is from RNAcentral.